CAAACGUCCAACUAAUGAAGACUGUCAACGUAAUAGACAAUUUUACUUGCAUCAUUAGUGUAGAGUACAUAAGAACGUAUUAAACACUUUGUGGAUCUAUCAAUGUUCACAUGUUAAUAAAAAUCAAAUGUAAUUGGCCAAAACUGAAAAUUGGAUUCCAAUUUGAUCGAUGGUCCUAUGCCUUGUUCUAAAGUAUGGUUGAUGAGGCCAAUCAGAUGCAACGAAUUGAAGCUUCAUGAUCGAUGAAACGAUAUAAAUCUCGAAAGGCAUAAAAGGCAGCCAAGAUUUGAGAUCUAAUGGCUCAAAAGCAUUGCAUCUACAUCGGAUUCAAUUUCAUAAAAUAUUAACCAAUUAAAUUUAAAGCCUAGGUUAGUGUGUGGGGGCAAUUUGGCAAUGGCCUCAUUCGUUGAGCUAAUUAGAAAUAAGCCCCAACUAGCCUAA
Molecule: long non-coding RNA, 441 nt
Filed under: Malus domestica (apple)
Lineage: Eukaryota; Viridiplantae; Streptophyta; Magnoliopsida; Rosales; Rosaceae
Description: long non-coding RNA (MDOM_LNC007202)
Source: RNAcentral